Molecule: long non-coding RNA, 1403 nt
Filed under: Mus caroli (Ryukyu mouse)
Lineage: Eukaryota; Metazoa; Chordata; Mammalia; Rodentia; Muridae
Description: RIKEN cDNA 1700129L04 gene (MGP_CAROLIEiJ_G0034468.1)
Source: RNAcentral
GGUGGCUUCCAUCCCUUCUGGCCGAGCCUCACUCUUUCUUGUGGAGUAAACUUCAGUUGUCACUAGUGAAUGAUGUUUGUGAGUAGAUUGAACUACUGCUGCUGAUUCCUGUGAACUGAGCUGCUGAUAUCCUGACAACACAGAUUUGAUUUGCUCCAAAGAACUAUUUCUAAACAGGCCUAAUUCUGAAUUCUGUUCUCCAAGAAACUUACUGCAUGCAGAUCUGAGUCUGCUUCCAAGGAGGUAGUCCUAUAGCUGGGCCUUGGAGAUGUGGGCAGUCAUUGUUCCAGAGCAAUUACCCAUAAUAAGAGGAGCUGAGUUAGUGACAACACUUUGAGGGAGAUGAAGUAGACUGUGGCCAAAGCUUCAGCGAGCAUGCUACCCUGUGUAAGAUGACCAUUGAAGAAUGACCUGUAGACCUGUGGGGAUAAAGCUUCUCUUUCCUCUCUGGGGACUACCCUCGCUCUCAACUCCAAGUUAGAUAUGACCAGACCUAUAGAAUCCUGAGUCUUGAGGCCUCCUCAAAACCUCCUGGACCACUACAAGAGAAUUCCCGGGGGAACUGAACAAAGGUCACACAAAAUCGAAGCUGUAUGUCAGUGUGCUGCAUAUCUUCACCUUCAGAGAAGCCUAAAGGCCAAUGUAAGCAUCAGCCAGGGGAAUGACAGUGCAUCAUCUGCAAGUCUGAGAUGCCCUUGCUUGUUCGCAAGUACAGCUGGCUCACACACCACAGGCAUGUUCUUUGAGACAAAGCUAGAGGAAAUCAGGCCAGACAGAACAGUGAGUCGGGCUAUUGACUCAGCAAGAACAUCGCCGCAAAAUCUCCUAGGAAGUUGCAAGGCCAGCAGUUGUCUUAAAAAUAGUGACCAGUUCUAAGGGAGGACAGAUAAACAAUAAACAGUGGUAGUGUUCUGGGGUCUUGAAUAAUCGAGUUGGCAUCAAGGGGUUAUCCACUAAAAGUUAUUUACUGCCACUGUCUAUUUCAUAUUUCAUAUUGGGUCAUUUUGGUGACCAAGAGGGCAGUCAGAGAGUGCAGUGGAAGGCUUAUGAGCCCCCUGGGUGACGUGAAGCAGGUUGAUCCCACUCCUGCCUUUCCUACUAAGUGCUUGGAGAGCUUCUACACAUUAGACAUGAAACCGGACACUGUGAGAAUUGAUUGGCCCACAGGGAGAAGAGAGAAGAAAUCAUUCUUAACAGCCCUAGUCAGUCAGUGCUGAUCUUAGGCCCUAAAUGGCAAAGGAACACCAUAAGUAGCCACCAUGUAGAGAAGAUGAGUGGCUAGCUAUGGCUUUGUAAAUACAAAUUGCCAUAUGAUGGAGAGGGUUGUUUCUAAGUGUAUGUUAUCAGGUCUAAAUUCAUAGUGUUUAUUUAAUUUUCUAAUUAAAUUAUUAAUGAAUGCUCUA